AACGAACGCUGGCGGCAGGCCUAACACAUGCAAGUCGAGCGCCCCGCAAGGGGAGCGGCGGACGGGUGAGUAACACGUGGGAAUUUCCUCAAGGUACGGAACAACUCAGGGAAACUUGGGCUAAUACCGUAUGAUGCAGAGAUGCCAAAGAUUUAUCGCCUUGGGAUAAGCCCGCGUCAGAUUAGGUAGUUGGUGGGGUAAUGGCCUACCAAGCCUGUGAUCUGUAGCUGGUCUGAGAGGACGAUCAGCCACAUUGGGACUGAGACACGGCCCAAACUCCUACGGGAGGCAGCAGUGGGGAAUCUUGCGCAAUGGACGAAAGUCUGACGCAGCCAUGCCGCGUGAAUGAUGAAGGUCUUAGGAUUGUAAAGUUCUUUAGCCUGUGACGAUGAUGACGGUAACAGGAGAAUAAGCCCCG
This 418-nucleotide ribosomal RNA is filed under the name uncultured bacterium. RNAcentral describes it as "bacterial SSU rRNA". It matches the Rfam family "Bacterial small subunit ribosomal RNA", at positions 29 to 495 of the family's 1533-position model. The record is from RNAcentral.